Non-coding RNA from Misgurnus anguillicaudatus (oriental weatherfish), 510 nucleotides. NCBI's taxonomy places the organism in Eukaryota, Metazoa, Chordata, Actinopteri, Cypriniformes, Cobitidae. The record is from RefSeq and is a predicted model, not a curated record.
CUACAAGUGGUUUUUUUUUACUUAGACUGGACCAACAUAUGGAAGAAAAAUGAUGACUGAUACCUGGCCUCAAAAGGUGUAAAAGCUUCAGAACGCAGAGUGGGACAAUUGCUUCGAAGCAUUAAUCGACCCUAUCAUAUAGCUUGAUAUAAUGGAUGUCGGAACAUAAAUCCAGUGCCUUACAGCGCUGAGUACAUGGGUCACAAAAUACACAUAGACCAAAACGAGAAGAUGGUUAUGUUUGGUGUGACCCAUGUAGCAGCUGUAGAUGGAUUCUCAAGUAAAAUUGUUGGACACUUCACUAUGCCUGUUAAAAACAACUUGAUCAUAUAUCAGGAAGUUUACAGAAGUGCUGUGCUAGAAUAUGGCAUGUGGGACCAGGUCAGGGUGGAUCAUGGGAGGGAGUUUUUCUUGACACUUUUCAUGCAGGAAAAACUGGCAGACCACCGGUACAACACAGAAAGGCUUCCAUAUCGGCAAACACCUUCAACUAAAGUUAGUAUGUUCAUA